UACGUAGGGUGCAAGCGUUAAUCGGAAUUACUGGGCGUAAAGCGUGCGCAGGCGGUGAUGUAAGACAGUUGUGAAAUCCCCGGGCUCAACCUGGGAACUGCAUCUGUGACUGCAUUGCUGGAGUGCGGCAGAGGGGGACGGAAUUCCGCGUGUAGCAGUGAAAUGCGUAGAUAUGCGGAGGAACACCGAUGGCGAAGGCAAUCCCCUGGGCCUGCACUGACGCUCAUGCACGAAAGCGUGGGGAGCAAACAGG
RNAcentral lists this ribosomal RNA (253 nucleotides) under uncultured bacterium. RNAcentral describes it as "partial 16S ribosomal RNA". It matches the Rfam family "Bacterial small subunit ribosomal RNA", at positions 524 to 776 of the family's 1533-position model. The record is from RNAcentral.